AAAGUAUCUUGUAUCUUUCUCUUUGGAUGAACAUGGAAAUGGUUCUUCAAUGUGAGUUCUCAUAGGAUUCCCUAGCACAAGAGCACACACAUCAAAAGUUACAUGAAGUAAAUCAAGAAUGGACAAGAGUGAGUUUAGGGAUUUGGUUCUUCUAAUCCAUCUUCACCAUUAAGGUCCUUUUACUCCAAUUUGCACAGGGAAAGUCCUAGAAACUAAGUCCAUUUGUCCAUUUCUUUUCAUUUGGUCCACAACAAUCAAAACAAAACACAAGC
Molecule: long non-coding RNA, 272 nt
Filed under: Lathyrus oleraceus (garden pea)
Lineage: Eukaryota; Viridiplantae; Streptophyta; Magnoliopsida; Fabales; Fabaceae
Description: Pisum sativum (pea) long non-coding RNA (PSAT_LNC002398)
Source: RNAcentral